Molecule: ribosomal RNA, 253 nt
Filed under: uncultured bacterium
Lineage: Bacteria
Description: partial 16S ribosomal RNA
Rfam family: Bacterial small subunit ribosomal RNA
Source: RNAcentral
UACGAAGGUGGCAAGCGUUGUUCGGAUUUACUGGGCGUAAAGGGAGCGUAGGUGGUCGGGUAAGCCCCGCGGGAAAGCUCCAGGCUUAACCUGGAAAGGUCGCGGGGGACUGCGCGGCUAGAGGACGGGAGAGGAGCGCGGAAUUCCCGGUGUAGCGGUGAAAUGCGUAGAGAUCGGGAGGAAGGCCGGUGGCGAAGGCGGCGCUCUGGAACGGCCCUGACACUGAAGCUCGAAAGCGUGGGGAGCAAACAGG